AACUUGGAAAUAAAAUAAAUUCAAUAAAAAACAGUUUAAUAAAAUACAUGGUAGAAAUCAGUGAAGGAAAACCUUUGGAGUUAGAGAAACAACCUAAAAUAUACACACCUAAAUUUGAUCCCAUAUGACACAAUAAAUAUCCACAUGCGAAUAUAUGUGUGCAUGUACAUAUAGAUGUUAUAUACCAUGCAGUUUGUGUACUACAUGUGUGCACAUAUGUAUCUUUAUGUCAUGUAUUACUUAUGUAUUUCUGCGUAUCAUAUAUUACAUAUUAUAUGCUAAUACUGUAAUUUUUUUCUGAUAAUUCUGUGACGAAGGAAACUGAUGACCCAAAUUAGCUAGGAUUUACCAAGGAAGAGCUAAAGGCAAGAUUUGGAAUUUCACUUGUCUUAAGUCCAAUUCAAAUGCUCCAUCUUGGAGCUGCUUCUUGGAACAGGUUGGUGAAUUUUUAUUUUCAUCCUCCCAAGGACUUUUCCAUUUACCUUCAGCCUGUCUGUUGGACUCAGCACAGCAUCAAUUCCCCCUGAAACUGGUCUGUUAAAAGUGGACACGUGGAACUUAAGAAAAAAAUGGAGUAAAUGGCUGGAGAUAGAGGACUGCUUUCCCUUCCCAUUUGAAAUUAAUGUUCACUGUAUAAAAAACAUAAAGCAUAUCCAUCCCCAGGGACUUGCCUGACAUUUUAAAACUUUCAUCUGCUUUAAUUCACGGCGUUUGAGGUAGGGAUUUACACAUUGCUGAGCUCCAGUGGCUAGUUGGCUGCCGUGUGCAUUUCCUCUCCUGUUGGGCUAGGCUGAGCUUUCUGCAGGCCCAAACAAAUUAUAUAGCUUAUUUAGCUCUCUCUAAAAACAAUAAUGGGCCUAUUCAGAUUUUAUCUGUAAUUUUACUUUGUUGUUGAGCAGUAUUAAUAAUACUGUUGUUAACAAGGCCAAGGCAGCCUUCACUGAAUUUUCUAGGCUUUAGUGAUAGGAUAAAUAGCUGCUUGCAUCUCACAAAGGGAAACAUGUAGAUCGUCUCAAUUUAAGUCAGACACACUUGCCUGGAUGGGAGCCAUGUUAAUAUCACAUCUUGCAGAUUUGGCAUGGGCUUUAAGAGUCCUGUAUUUCAAGUUGGUUUUUAUAGAAACUUGCUGCAGAACUGGGCAGGAUUAAUCAUGGCUGAGAUAUAUCACACUUAGUGCAGUAUUAAAUUCUCACAGUGGAACGAUGCAAAACCAGUUCAUAACCUUAUAAGAACAUCGUGCGCUACAGUAAUCAUAGAGAAAUACUGUAUAUCCAAAUUAAUGGAGAAUAAAAUGUCCUGUACUUUUUUUUUUUAUGUCAGGCAACACUUCUGUGUUGUAUUCAUUUCUUUCCCUUUACCUUGCAUGGGAGCUGGCCAAGUUGAGCCUUAAGUCUUCCUGUGCUUUGUUAUCACUGGACUUGUACUUAGCUGAGCGCUGUGCUGAGCUUGGGGGUUAGAAAGUACUUAUGGCUCAGUUCCUCUCCUCAUGGAGUGGUCUCUCUGGAUCUAUAAUAUGCAGAUGUUCAUUGUUUUUCUAGAGUCUUCCCCCAGUCUUUCUCCAAUCUUCCUCCCUAUCAGCCAGAGCCAGAGUUUAUAAGUUUUUAUGGAUCUGAAUUUAAUGGUAAUACACACUAUCUGCCUGCCUGCCUGCCUGCCUGUCCGUCUAUCAGCAUUAGAGAACUCAGGGCCUAGUGUGCAAGUAUUCUGUCAUUUGAGGCUGGCUCCCAGCCAUUUUGCUUUUGAUUUGUUUUCCACAUAGGAAACUAUGCUAACUUUGUUUGCUCCAACUUGCCUUAGGCCAUCAUCCUCUUACCUUCACCUUAUGAGGAGCUGGGAUUACAGAGAUGUAUACCAUUAUAUUUGACUUCAUGCAUGCAUCUUUAGAAUCAGUUCUGGUAUUGCCUGUGCUCCAGAAAUAAGUUUUUUUUUCCUAUAUAAUUUGGCUCAAGUAUUUUGGUAGGUAAGGAUAAAUUAAACAGCAGUGUGAAGGUCAUCAAUGUAUUAUUUCCUCUCAAAAAUUUCUCAACCAAUGAGAGAAGCUAUAAAAUACAUCUUCAUAAGGACCCAUGGACUUUUCUUGAGAAACUGUUAAAUUGAAGAGACUAUAUAGGUUUAGUUAGAUUAAAGGGUUUUUCAUGGCUAAUGUUUCAAGCAUGUGAUAGGUAGAGUUGUUACAUUUUUCACCUCUCUCUCCAUAAUGGUCAUCAAAAUAAAUUUUGUGACCAUUUUAGAGUGGGCCCUGCAGAAUUCACUAUAGAGCAUCCUCUUCCUUCCUCCAUGGUACUGUGGUUUGCACUCUCAGAGCCUUGCAUGUGCUAAGAAAGUGUUCUGCCCCUUGCGUCAUGCCCUAAGCCCUCACUAUGGGAAAUGACUAAUAUGGUGAUAAGGUUCUUAGCUAAAUAUUCCAAGUCUUAGUAGUGGCUUGGGGUCUUCUGUGGCUAUUUGACUCAACAUCAUGCUCCUGAAAUAUCAUGAGGAUACAAUAGCUUAUCAAAGGUUCACUUUUAACCUGACAGCAACUCUUUUUCAGACUGAUCUAUUUUUAACUUUCUUGUGACAUAUUAAACUUCCUUAAUUUGAAAUGAGAGUAUUUUUGAGGACUUUAGAACUUGGUGUGUUGAAAUGCAAGGAAAAAAUGUGCCAAAGAGGUAUUAUUUGGGGGAUAAUGGCCCUUUAGGUGCUGCCCAUGUAUAUAUACAUCAAGGUUUAGAUUCAGUAGCUACAGCCUUCCCAGUUCAGCAAGGCUGCUCAAUGGGGGCAGAGAAUCAAACUGAGAUGCUGUCUCUGGUCCUACUGGAAGACAAACUGUUUUCCUGUUUUCUCCCAAUUCUCAAGUCAUUACUGUGUAAAUGUGGUCAGGCAUCUGUAUUCCUUAACUGCCCUGUACUUAUGUGUGUAAUAAACUCCUACCAAAACAGUAGCCAUUAUUUCUUUUACUCUUUUUAGUUUUCAAAUUGGAUCUUUUCUCCUUCUGGUAGUUAAGUGAGUCACUUAAAUUUAAUUUGAUAGUGUUUUUGAGUUCAUAUAAUACAGAUGCUGAUUUUGCCAGAUGUAAACCUAGCACAGUAAUGCCCUGCUUCUGAGAUUAUUGGUAAACACAUUGCAAUACCACUAAAUAGAUACUUUCAGGCAUUUUCUCUACAGGCUUAAAAGAAGUAUACAGCACUAUGUUUAAAAGUAUUUCAGGGAAGAAAUCUUUUUUCUUACUGAGGGUUUUGGAACUUCAGAAUGUUCCUCUGACUUGUGAAGCAGAGAUUUUUUUUUCACAAGGUCUCUUUAAUUGGUGGCCAACAUGGGCAUUACAAGUCAAGCCAGAGGAGAUGUGCCUGGGAGAAUACCAUCCCACUUACUCAGGUACAUAGAGGGACACCUUUCUAGCAAAAGAGGCCAAGGAGAGAUUCUCAGGUGGACCUAUCUGGUUGUCCACCCAUCAUCAAUUCAUCUAUCCAUCUUCAGUAUAUUCAUUGAGAGCUUAUUGAUUUUCAGACGCUGAGGAAGCAAGAUAAAUCAGGGGCCUCUGAUUGUGACAAUAUGACAUCCAUGAUACAAAGAGCUAUGUAGUUUCAGGAAGAGUAAGAUAGGAGGAGUA
Molecule: long non-coding RNA, 3589 nt
Organism: Perognathus longimembris pacificus (Pacific pocket mouse)
Lineage: Eukaryota; Metazoa; Chordata; Mammalia; Rodentia; Heteromyidae
Exons: 3
Source: RefSeq, a predicted model, not a curated record